GCUGGCGGCAGGCCUAACACAUGCAAGUCGAGCGGUAACAUUUCUAGCUUGCUAGAAGAUGACGAGCGGCGACGGGUGAGUAACGCGUAGAAAUCUACCUAGUAGUGGGGGAUAGCCCAGAGAAAUUUGGAUUAAUACCGCAUACGCCCUACGGGGGAAAGCGGGGGGAUCUUCGGACCUCGUGCUAUUAGAUGAGUCUGCGUCGGAUUAGCUUGUUGGUGAGGUAAUGGCUCACCAAGGCGACGAUCCGUAGCUGGUCUGAGAGGAUGACCAGCCACACUGGAACUGAGACACGGUCCAGACUCCUACGGGAGGCAGCAGUGGGGAAUAUUGCACAAUGGGCGCAAGCCUGAUGCAGCCAUGCCGCGUGUGUGAAGAAGGCCUUAGGGUUGUAAAGCACUUUCAGCAGUGAGGAAAGGGGUGUCGUUAAUAGCGCCAUCCUGUGACGUUAACUGCAGAAGAAGGACCGGCUAACUCCGUG
This 481-nucleotide ribosomal RNA is filed under the name uncultured bacterium. Its description in RNAcentral is "bacterial SSU rRNA". It matches the Rfam family "Bacterial small subunit ribosomal RNA", at positions 35 to 507 of the family's 1533-position model. The record is from RNAcentral.